Molecule: long non-coding RNA, 332 nt
Filed under: Mytilus galloprovincialis (Mediterranean mussel)
Lineage: Eukaryota; Metazoa; Mollusca; Bivalvia; Mytilida; Mytilidae
Source: RNAcentral
AAAUAUUUCAAACAUUGACAGAAAAUUGUCGAGUUCUUAGCUAAUGACCCUUACAGAUUUGUUGUUAUUUGUGAGUGAAUUCGGCAUUGGAAGUAUAAACACAGCCUAGAGUAAUCGAAGAAAAAAACCUCUAUUGAUGUUUUUAAGGAGGGUAGACUUCCUUAUAUUUUGUCACACCAAUGUAACAACAUAAUCCUUACCACCACGGAGAGCAUAGAGUGUUUUUAGUGUUUUAAAUAAUCAUAAUUAUCAUUUCCGCAUUCGCGGAAGUCUGCUACGUAUUACUUAUGUUUGACACAAACAACAAUAUGUGUUCUUUGUGAAUGGACGCC